UCUACUUCACUGGUUACUGUAAGAGUUAAAACAUAAAAAAUAAAAGAAAUAGUAAUCUCACAUUAUAAAAAAAGAGUUAAAUAAGUUAAAUUAUGUAAUAUGCUUAGACGACAACCUGGCACAAAUGAAAGUCCCAAUAAACAUUAGUUAAGAUUACCUAGGGGGCCAUUUUCACUAACAUGUGAUAUGUAAAGGUUGGAUGGAGUGAAAGAUAAAGUCAUUGACUUGUUCAUUCAACUGUAUACUCUUGGAUGUAUUGUUGUGUUUCUAGGGCUUAGAAUAGUGCCUUGCACACAGUAGGUGCUCAUGGUGUAUUUGUUUACUAAAUGACUGAGAUUCUGCAUUUUUUCACAUAGCUACUGUGUAAGAACAUGUUCAUAGACAUUUAUCAUGCAGAAAUGCUACUUCACAAAAUUUGAAAUAUCUAGACUAUUAAGAGGCAUACAUUAAGAAAUCAACCACUUUUAGAGAACUAACUCUUUUAGUUAUGGUUCAGUCUGAAAAAUCAAUGAGCUCAAUCUAGUUUGUUUGACAGAUGCAACUGAAUAUUGGACAUGGUUACAGCAGGGGCAGUAAGCCAGCAGGUGACGUGAGGCAGCCCAGAGAUGAACCACUGGCACUCCAAGUGUAGGACUAAAGACCUGUGUAAGGAACUUCAAAGAUUUACAAGGCCUGUGGUCAUCUGUGUUGCAUGAGAAGAUAAGAAGCUUCCCCAGAGCACACAGCUCAAAGUCAGGAAGAAUAUGGAGGCAAGUUUGGCCCAGAACUGAAGGCCCCGUCCAAGGACAGCACAUCUGUUUCCUGGCCAAGCCUACAAAGAGACACUGUAGGAAGGGAAUAUGACAGUGGUUGUUCUACUUUCCUUGUUUCUGGUUGCAUGGAGGAUUAAGAGAGAUAAUGUGUGUAGAGUUCUUGGAUGAGAAGUUGGUUGAAUUAGUUGCCUAUGGUUACAGUAGCCAAGCAACACAAACUUAGCAGUCCAAACAACACAACUGUAGCAUCUUCCCGUUUUUGAGGUCAGAAGUCAGAAAUUGGUCUAUCAUCAAGUUGCUGACAGAGCCACAUUCUUUCUGGAGGAUCUGGAGAGAUUCCAUUUCCUUGCCUUUUGAAAGAAAGUCUCUGAUAGAAACAGAGAUAUCUAAUGUGCAUACUGGGGACAGCAAAAGUUCUGAUACUUAGCAGAACUGGCCAUGGUGCUAGUGGGCUUGGAGCUAGUGGAAGGUAGCUUGAUGGGAACCCGGAGGCUAUGGCCAAAUAUGGAGUCUUCAAGUAGGCUUUCACUGGCACAGUGCUUAAAGCAGGAGAGGAAGAGAGUGGCAGUUGUUGUGGGAAAAUGCCAAAACUGAUUGCUGAGUGUGUUUUACUUCACUGGACAUACCAGAAGUAAACUGGCAACCAUUUCAGGGAGCUGGAUCUUCUGCAAUAACAGACAGGUGGCAGAG
RNAcentral lists this long non-coding RNA (1442 nucleotides) under Heterocephalus glaber (naked mole-rat). RNAcentral's name for it is "lncRNA (ENSHGLG00100044549.1)". The record is from RNAcentral. Lineage: Eukaryota; Metazoa; Chordata; Mammalia; Rodentia; Bathyergidae.